Molecule: non-coding RNA, 114 nt
Organism: Acanthosepion pharaonis
Lineage: Eukaryota; Metazoa; Mollusca; Cephalopoda; Sepiida; Sepiidae
Source: the annotation of a GenBank genome assembly
UUACGGCCACAUCUUGUUGAAACACUAGUUUUCAUAAGAUCACCAAAGUUAAGCAAUAUUGAGCCUGGUCAGUACCUAGAUGGAUGAGUGCUUGGGAAUAUUAAGUGCUGUAAG